CCUACGGGAGGCAGCAGUAGGGAAUCUUCCACAAUGGACGAAAGUCUGAUGGAGCAACGCCGCGUGAGCGAUGAAGGCCUUCGGGUCGUAAAGCUCUGUUGUUAGGGAAGAACAAGUACCGGAGUAACUGCCGGUACCUUGACGGUACCUAACCAGAAAGCCACGGCUAACUACGUGCCAGCAGCCGCGGUAAUACGUAGGUGGCAAGCGUUGUCCGGAUUUAUUGGGCGUAAAGCGCGCGCAGGUGGUUUCUUAAGUCUGAUGUGAAAGCCCACGGCUCAACCGUGGAGGGUCAUUGGAAACUGGGGAACUUGAGUGCAGAAGAGGAUAGUGGAAUUCCAAGUGUAGCGGUGAAAUGCGUAGAGAUUUGGAGGAACACCAGUGGCGAAGGCGACUGUCUGGUCUGUAACUGACACUGAGGCGCGAAAGCGUGGGGAGCAAACAGGAUUAGAUACCCUGGUAGUCCACGCCGUAAACGAUGAGUGCUAAGUGUUAGGGGGUUUCCGCCCCUUAGUGCUGCAGCUAACGCAUUAAGCACUCCGCCUGGGGAGUACGACCGCAAGGUUGAAACUCAAAGGAAUUGACG
Molecule: ribosomal RNA, 586 nt
Filed under: uncultured bacterium
Lineage: Bacteria
Description: bacterial SSU rRNA
Rfam family: Bacterial small subunit ribosomal RNA
Source: RNAcentral